UUGAACUGACAUUGGUUGAUUGUUUGAAAAUACUAGAAUAACGGAGGAAACUUGAUGAUGAUGUUGACGCGGUUGCGGACUUCUUCUGACAUGAGGCCUCCUUUACCUCCCUACUAAUACUGCAUUAGUUUCUCCUUCCUUCUUCCUAGCGAAAUUGCUACCAUACUUCUUGCUCGAUGAUACUUCUUCCUUAGACAAACGUCCCUCGUGGACUCCUUCC
RNAcentral lists this long non-coding RNA (220 nucleotides) under Lathyrus oleraceus (garden pea). RNAcentral describes it as "Pisum sativum (pea) long non-coding RNA (PSAT_LNC018850)". The record is from RNAcentral. Lineage: Eukaryota; Viridiplantae; Streptophyta; Magnoliopsida; Fabales; Fabaceae.